RNAcentral lists this long non-coding RNA (604 nucleotides) under Nicotiana tabacum (common tobacco). RNAcentral's name for it is "long non-coding RNA (NTAB_LNC004725)". Lineage: Eukaryota; Viridiplantae; Streptophyta; Magnoliopsida; Solanales; Solanaceae. The record is from RNAcentral.
UUAUAUGGGUGGGCUCCCAACUUCAAAACUUUGAAAAUAAAUCGCCAUUCUGUUCUUCAGGGGGGCUCCUGACCUCAACAACAACUGAACAUUGAUAAUCUUAAGAAAACUAAAAAAAAUGACUCCUUUUUUUUCAAAUUCAAACUUCUUCUUUUUUUCAAAUUAUCCUAGGAGAAAAUUCAUCAGACUAGAUUUUGAUCCUAGGAGAAGAUUCAUCCGACUAAAAUUUUGGUAUAUUAUCUUCGGAGAAAAAUUCCAUCGGACCAAGAUUUUGACUCUAGGAGAUAAAUCGUCAAACUAGGUCCAUUUUGUUGUGAUCUUACGAGAAAGAUUCAUCGGACUAAGAUUUGAUAUCUUAGGAGAAAUUUCAUCGGACUAAAAUUUCUAUCUUAGGAGAAAAAUUCAUCGGACUAAGAUUUGAUAUCUUAGGAGAAAAUUUCAUCGGACUAAGAUUUUGACUCUAGGAGAUAAAUCGUCAAACUAGGUCCAUUUUGUUGUGAUCUUAGGAGAAAGAUUCAUCGGACUAAGAUUUGAUAUCUUAGGAGAAAAUUUCAUCGGACUAAGUUUCUAUCUUAGGAGAAAAAUUCAUCGGACUAAAAUUUCU